Molecule: ribosomal RNA, 376 nt
Filed under: uncultured organism
Description: partial 16S ribosomal RNA
Rfam family: Bacterial small subunit ribosomal RNA
Source: RNAcentral
GUAGGGGUGCAAGCGUUGUUCGGAAUUAUUGGGCGUAAAGCGUGCGUAGGCGGGAUUAGAAAGUCGGGGUGUGAAAGCCCACAGCUUAACUGUGGAAUUGCGCUCGAAACUCCUAAUCUUGAGGACGGUAGAGGCAGGUGGAAUUCCUGGUGUAGAGGUGAAGUUCGUAGAUAUCAGGAGGAACACUCGUGGCGAAGGCGGCCUGCUGGACCGUUCCUGACGCUGAGGUACGAAAGCGUGGGGAGCAAACAGGAUUAGAUACCCUGGUAGUCCACGCCGUAAACGAUGAGUACUAGGCGUUGGAGGUAUUGACCCCUUCAGUGCCGGCGCUAACGCAAUAAGUACUCCGCCUGGGAAGUACGGUCGCAAAGAUUAA